GAUUAACGCUGGCGGCGUGCAUAACACAUGCAAGUCGAACGAUGAAACUUAAAUGAUCUCUUCGGAGUGAAUUUAAGUGGAUUAGUGGCGGACGGGUGAGUAACGCGUGAGUAACCUGCCUUAGAGAAGGGGAUAGCCUUUGGAAACGAAGAAUAAUACCCUAUGAAACCAUAACCUCGCAUGAGGCCUUGGUCAAAGAUUUAUCGCUCUAAGAUGGACUUGCGUCUGAUUAGUUAGUUGGUGGGGUAACGGCCCACCAAGACAGCGAUCAGUAGCCGGCUUGAGAGAGUGUACGGCCACAUUGGGACUGAGACACGGCCCAGACUCCUACGGGAGGCAGCAGUGGGGAAUUUUGCACAAUGGGGGAAACCCUGAUGCAGCGACGCCGCGUGAUUUAGAAGGCCUUCGGGUUGUAAAAAUCUUUUCUAUGGGAAGAAAAUGACAGUGGGGGAGGAAUAAGGACCGGCUAAUUACGUGCCAGCAGCCGCGGUAAUACGUAAGGUCCGAGCGUUGUCCGGAAUCAUUGGGCGUAAAGGGUACGUAGGCGGGUAAGCAAGUUAGAAGUGAAAUCCUAUAGCUCAACUAUAGUAAGCUUUUAAAACUGCUCAUCUUGAGGUAUGGAAGGGAAAGUGGAAUUCCUAGUGUAGCGGUGAAAUGCGCAGAUAUUAGGAGGAAUACCGGUGGCGAAGGCGACUUUCUGGCCAUAACCUGACGCUGAGGUACGAAAGCGUGGGUAGCAAACAGG
This 745-nucleotide ribosomal RNA is filed under the name uncultured Anaerococcus sp. RNAcentral describes it as "bacterial SSU rRNA". It matches the Rfam family "Bacterial small subunit ribosomal RNA", at positions 28 to 776 of the family's 1533-position model. Lineage: Bacteria; Bacillati; Bacillota; Tissierellia; Tissierellales; Peptoniphilaceae. The record is from RNAcentral.